RNAcentral lists this ribosomal RNA (459 nucleotides) under uncultured Pelotomaculum sp. Its description in RNAcentral is "bacterial SSU rRNA". It matches the Rfam family "Bacterial small subunit ribosomal RNA", at positions 926 to 1382 of the family's 1533-position model. Lineage: Bacteria; Bacillati; Bacillota; Clostridia; Eubacteriales; Desulfotomaculaceae. The record is from RNAcentral.
CAAGCGGUGGAGCAUGUGGUUAAUUCGACGCAACGCGAAGAACCUUACCAGGGCUUGACAUCCCCUGACCGCGUAUGAAAGUACGUUUUCACCCUCGGGUGACAGGGAGACAGGUGGUGCAUGGUUGUCGUCAGCUCGUGUCGUGAGAUGUUGGGUUAAGUCCCGCAACGAGCGCAACCCCUACGUUUAGUUGCUAACAGGUGAAGCUGAGCACUCUAGACGAACUGCCGUUGACAAAACGGAGGAAGGUGGGGAUGACGUCAAAUCAUCAUGCCCCUUAUGUUCUGGGCUACACACGUGCUACAAUGGCCGGUACAGACGGACGCAAAGCCGCGAGGUGGAGCAAAUCCUAAAAAGCCGGUCUCAGUUCGGAUUACAGGCUGCAAUUCGCCUGCAUGAAGUCGGAAUCGCUAGUAAUCGCAGGUCAGCAUACUGCGGUCGAAUACGUUCCCGGGCCUU